UCCUAAGUUUCUGGGUUCUAAAUCAGAAGCUCUGAAGGGAGACUGGCAAAUAACCAAAAUGACUGACAGAUUCCGCACACCAUGGUAAUGUUCAUUGUUGAAAACACUGACACACAUGGAAAACACUGGAGUUUUCUCUGAAUACUACUAACAGGUGUUGCACCCCUUUCUCAAGGUGAAUUUUGCAGCAGACUACGACUGUUAUGCCAGAAUGUUUCAACCAUUUGCCACUGAAGAUCAAAUUUCAAGUCUGAAAGGGGAAUUUACUACCUACCUGAACAUGCCCAACUCUGACCAUGUGAAACCGGAUGUGUUGGCUUUUCGGAACAGGCAUCAACACACACUUCUCAACUUCAGCAAAGUAGCACGGCGAGCUUUGAGUGUGCCCCCGAAUCUACUGAUGCAGAGCACUUAUUUUCAAAGUUUUCCACAACAGCAAGAGGCUCAACAUGAGGGAAGACACUUUGAAGAAAAUUACAUCUGCUGGAGUCUUGAGGCAGCUACAAAAUAGUGCCAAUAAGCAAAAUCACAACCAAUUAAUAUAAUGGUUUUGAAACUGAAGAAAAUAAAAUCCAGGCUGGCAAAAAAGAAUUGUUUUUUUACAUUAUGCAUUACGUAAUCUUUUGGCAGUUUCAUACCAGAUCUGUUUUCUGACAUCUUCUGUGCCUGCUACAGCAUCAAGCAUUUAGUGCUUCUCAGCUUCAGAAACUGAAGACACUAACAUGCUGAAAAGGAAC
Long non-coding RNA from Mauremys reevesii (Reeves's turtle), 737 nucleotides. RefSeq lists it as uncharacterized. The transcript has 3 exons. The record is from RefSeq and is a predicted model, not a curated record. NCBI's taxonomy places the organism in Eukaryota, Metazoa, Chordata, Testudines, Geoemydidae.